ACCUAGCAAUAGGUUGAUGGCGACCGGCGCACGGGUGAGUAACACGUAUCCAACCUACCGGUUAUUCCGGGAUAGCCUUUCGAAAGAAAGAUUAAUACCGGAUAGUAUAACGAGAAGGCAUCUUCUUGUUAUUAAAGAAUUUCGAUAACCGAUGGGGAUGCGUUCCAUUAGUUUGUUGGCGGGGUAACGGCCCACCAAGACAUCGAUGGAUAGGGGUUCUGAGAGGAAGGUCCCCACAUUGGAACUGAGACACGGUCCAA
RNAcentral lists this ribosomal RNA (260 nucleotides) under uncultured Bacteroidota bacterium. RNAcentral describes it as "uncultured Bacteroidetes bacterium partial 16S ribosomal RNA". It matches the Rfam family "Bacterial small subunit ribosomal RNA", at positions 74 to 334 of the family's 1533-position model. The record is from RNAcentral. Lineage: Bacteria; Pseudomonadati; Bacteroidota.